GCUUGCUGGGUGGAUCAGUGGCGAACGGGUGAGUAACACGUGAGCAACCUGCCCUGGACUCUGGGAUAAGCGCUGGAAACGGCGUCUAAUACUGGAUACGAGCCACGAAGGCAUCUUCGGUGGUUGGAAAGAUUUUUCGGUCUGGGAUGGGCUCGCGGCCUAUCAGCUUGUUGGUGAGGUAAUGGCUCACCAAGGCGUCGACGGGUAGCCGGCCUGAGAGGGUGACCGGCCACACUGGGACUGAGACACGGCCCAGACUCCUACGGGAGGCAGCAGUGGGGAAUAUUGCACAAUGGGCGGAAGCCUGAUGCAGCAACGCCGCGUGAGGGAUGACGGCCUUCGGGUUGUAAACCUCUUUUAGCAAGGAAGAAGCUUUUUGUGACGGUACUUGCAGAAAAAGCGCCGGCUAACUACGUGCCAGCAGCCGCGGUAAUACGUAGGGCGCAAGCGUUAUCCGGAAUUAUUGGGCGUAAAGAGCUCGUAGGCGGUUUGUCGCGUCUGCUGUGAAAUCCCGAGGCUCAACCUCGGGCCUGCAGUGGGUACGGGCAGACUAGAGUGCGGUAGGGGAGAUUGGAAUUCCUGGUGUAGCGGUGGAAUGCGCAGAUAUCAGGAGGAACACCGAUGGCGAAGGCAGAUCUCUGGGCCGUAACUGACGCUGAGGAGCGAAAGGGUGGGGAGCAAACAGGCUUAGAUACCCUGGUAGUCCACCCCGUAAACGUUGGGAACUAGUUGGUGGGGGUCCUUUCCACGGAUUCCGUGACGCAGCUAACGCAUUUAGUUCCCCGCCUGGGGGAAGUACGGCCGCAAGCUAAACUCAAGGAAUUGACGGGGAGCCGCACAGCUGGCGGAGCAUGCGGAUUAAUUUCGAUGCAUCGCGUAAGAAACCUACCAAAGGCUUGACAUACACGAGAACACCCUAAAAUAAGGGACUCUUUGGACACUCAUGACAAGGUGGUGCAUGGCUGUCGUCAGCUC
This 975-nucleotide ribosomal RNA is filed under the name Microbacterium sp. RNAcentral's name for it is "bacterial SSU rRNA". It matches the Rfam family "Bacterial small subunit ribosomal RNA", at positions 78 to 1061 of the family's 1533-position model. Lineage: Bacteria; Bacillati; Actinomycetota; Actinomycetes; Micrococcales; Microbacteriaceae. The record is from RNAcentral.